AAAGUCGUAACAAGGUUUCCGUAGGUGAACCUGCGGAAGGAUCAUUAUUGAAUAAACCACGGCGGGCUGUCUUGCUGGCCUUUUCCCUCCUCCAGGGAGGAGAGAGGGCAUGUGCACGCCCGUCAAAAGUUUCAUUCACAUACCCUUUUCCACCUGUGCACACACUGUGGGCCCCGUUUGAAGGGGGGGAGCCUUGGGCCCUCCCCUUUUUCGGACCUACGUUUUACAACCCUACCCCCUCGAAUAUGAUACGAACGUAGUGACUUGGGCCACCGCGCCUAAUAAAACAUAAUACAACUUUCAACAACGGAUCUCUUGGCUCUC
Molecule: unclassified non-coding RNA, 324 nt
Filed under: Basidiomycota sp.
Lineage: Eukaryota; Fungi; Basidiomycota
Description: partial contains small subunit ribosomal RNA, internal transcribed spacer 1, and 5.8S ribosomal RNA
Rfam family: Eukaryotic small subunit ribosomal RNA (bases 1-47)
Source: RNAcentral